This is an RNA transcript of Vitis riparia (riverbank grape), 3167 nucleotides long. RefSeq lists it as uncharacterized. The transcript has 4 exons. The record is from RefSeq and is a predicted model, not a curated record. NCBI's taxonomy places the organism in Eukaryota, Viridiplantae, Streptophyta, Magnoliopsida, Vitales, Vitaceae.
CUCUUGUUUCUUUGUUUGGUCGUGGAUACGUUCUGUUCGUUUAUUUCUUUAAUUCUUAGUUGUACUUAUAUUUUGAACUUUGAUUUGGGAUAUUGGUUUGGGUUGAACUUUGAUUUAGUCUAGGUUUCAGAGUCGAAGAUGAAUCAGUGAGACUGUUGGUGUUGAAGCUAAUAAAUGAUUAUGCUUUAGUGUGUCCUAGGAUAGAGAGGGUUAUGGGUUUCUAUGAUUUCUCAAUCGUUCUUUAUAGUUUCCUUUUCUCUAUAAAUAAUUCUAUUCAUGUUUCUGAUCAAAGACAGAUUACCUUGUUCGCACACAAAAAUCAUAUAGAGAGGGAGUUCCUUGUCAACUAUCUCUUGAUCAUCUGGUUCUGGGUUCAUAACCUUUAUAGUGCAUGCUCCUCGCUCUAAUUUGUGACAUAUGCUUAGACCUGCCAUCUCAAGGUUCUCAAUUGAAUUUGAGGUUGUUUGAGCCAGCACCAAGAAGGGUAUGGUUGGGGAUUUGGUCCUUUCUUUCCCAGCAAGUAUAAUUGAUUUUGCAGGGGCAAGUUGCUGAGGCCAUAGUGUGUUCAUAUGUUUGACAGAGAAUGGUCUGGAAUGGAAAAAAACAUGGGGGGAAAUGAGAAAAAAAUUUGGACUAUUUCUCGAUGGCUGGACAAUAUGCAGACACCAGUUUAUUCGUAAAGUUUCGAUGUGGGACAGUGGGUACGGGAUGCCCAAAACAUUAUCGUUUCACAUGACCUGUAUCGCGUAAGGGAGUUCAUGGGGGUCCACAGCCUGAAAGUGAGGGUCGCUGUUCACUUCUCAGUUCUCAUUGUUUUUCUUGUUUCUUUAUUUGUAUGUGGGUAUAUUCUUUAUUUGGUUGUGGGUUUAUUCUUUAUUUGUUUAUUGGACAAUGAAUGAAAGGAAAAUUCCAAUUCUAUUUGGUUUUUUAUUGAGCAAAAUUGGGGAAAAUUUAUGGAACCAACAAAUUGGUGAGAAAAUCUGGGAGGAGUGGAUGAAAAUUUUAUUGGGUUCAAAUUUGUAUUUUAUUUUAUUUUUGCCACAUUUUUUCCCCUUGUGCUUCGCUUUCAUUUCCUUCACAGUUUCCUGAGAACCAAACAACCUGUAAUUAUUGUUAUCAUCACUGUUUUGGGUAUACAAUUAUUUAAACUAAACUGUUAAGCAAUGACCUAUUGUUAUUGUUACAGUCAUUUUAUUGGUACAGAAUUAUCUAAAGGAAACUGUUAAUCAGGGUUCUAUCUUUUAUGAGUUUCUUACACUGACAUCAAUUGGUAAACUGCAUGGUUGUUUAAUAUUUUUCCUUAUUCAAGUUUACUCAUGAAUGGAUGUUUGCAGAUAUGGGGUUAAGAUGCAUUGUGUCUAGGGCUUUGGGUAGUAAAUUUCAGAAUAAGUUGGAGUAUUGGUUGGUUUAGUGAUGGUUGAAAUGUUCUUUUCCUUGUUCAAAUCUUUUCAAAAUGGAUGUUUGCAGAAUUCAAUGGGAAUUGUUUUGGUUUAGGGCUUAUGGUAUUACAUAUUGGGUAUCGGUAGGUUAGUUUGGUGUCAUUUGGCUUAAGAUUAAUUUUAUGGUCUCAGAGUAUUUGUGUUUCUGUUUUCCGAUUGGUCUCUUCACUAGGAGAUUUUCAUUCCAUGAGAUGGAUUAUAGCACAAAACUUCCUUCCAGAAUUCAAUCACCAGUUAUAGAAACAUGAAUUAUGUGAGUAGGUUUAACUUUUGCAGGAAUGCAGGAGAAGGACGUUGUGUUACUUUUACCUGGAGAAAGGUCUUGUUUGGUGGGGAGGGAAGAAAAAAAAAUUUGGACCAUUUCUCGAUUUGUGCGUGUCAUCCUUGCGCAGGGGCCAUGCUAAUCUUCUCUGUAUCGUUCCAAUUUUAUCGGAUGUCUCCGAGGAGACAAGCUUUAACAGUGGAGUUUCAAUAUAUGAGGAAACAUAUCUGGUCUUAAAGUUUCGAUGUGGGAUGGGAAUGGGGAUGUCAAGACCCCCGGCUGCCCAAAACGAUGCCGUUUCACUCAACCUGCACCGCCUUUAUGUGGGUCCACAACUUGAAAAAUUCUCUACAGGAAACUGUUAGUCAGAGACCUUUCUUUAUACGAGCUUCAUGCACUGACAUUAGGUGGUAAAAUGGAGGGUUGUUUCAAGUUUUCACAUGAAUGGAUGUUUGGAGACACUCAAAUCUUGACAGAUUAUUGGUUGAUGACUUCUUGCCCAACAACAAAAUCACAUAAAGGGGGUUUGCUUUCAACCAUCCCGUUAUCAUAUUGUUCACAAUUCAUAACCUUGUAGCAGUCAAUCCAUGAGCUUUGUUUGGAUGGUCAAACACAUUAUUCAAGGAAAUGACUUGAAUAUACUUCUGCUUAUAUUUGAAUGUUAAACUGGUUUAAACCUGCGACCUCAAAGCUUUCAAUUGAACUGGGCUUGCAUGAGUCAAGACUCAAGACCGAGUUGGCUAUGAUUGGAGAUUGAAUCCUUCUUUUCCCUCUUUGUUUUAAGAUGUACUAUUCAUUUUUCCUGGCAACUGGCUAAGGCUUUGAUUGACCAUAGUUCAGUUCAUGUUUCAGAGAAAUGGCUGGUUCUGAAGCAGAGAUGGGCACUGUAAUGUAAUUUGUUCAUAGUUGAAAGUUGAUUUGGGGGAGAAAAAGACAAAAAAAUUUGGACCAUUUCUCGAUUUGUGCGUGUCAUCCUUGCGCAGGGGCCAUGCUAAUCUUCUCUGUAUCGUUCCAAUUUUAUCGGAUGUCUCCGAAGAGACAAGCUUUGGUGGGAGAGCUGAUAGAUAUGAAGACAUUGCUGGCUUCAUAAUUUUUCGAUGUGGGAAUGGAAUUUUGGAUGAACCAAACUUAAAAGGAGAACAACAUGGGCCCACAACCUGUAGGAAAAGGAGGUUAUGGAGAUAUAUACCCAUUGAUUUGAACCAGGGGGCUGAUAAGAUGGUGAAAGGCCUCUCAUCAAUUACCCUUUUUUGGGGAGUUUCUACCUAGAUUCUCCAUAUUUGGCUUGGAUUAUAGUGGUAGAUGUGUAUUGUUUCUGGGAAUCAAUUUUUGGGUGUUCGUUCUUUGUCUUCCUCCUCUCUCCUCUCCUCAUCCUCUUCUACACCCAUAUCUAUGAAAGAUCUCUCUUUCUGCUUUGUAGUUAUGUUUUCUCUGUAUAUAAUUCUAUCUGGGUUUCUUGCAGAAUA